RNAcentral lists this ribosomal RNA (252 nucleotides) under uncultured bacterium. RNAcentral describes it as "partial 16S ribosomal RNA". It matches the Rfam family "Bacterial small subunit ribosomal RNA", at positions 524 to 776 of the family's 1533-position model. The record is from RNAcentral.
UACGGGGGGGGCAAGCGUUGUUCGGAAUUACUGGGCGUAAGGGCUCGUAGGCGGCCAACUAAGUCAGACGUGAAAUCCCCAGGCUCAACCUGGGAACUGCGUCUGAUACUGGAUGGCUUGAAUCCGGGAGAGGGAUGCAGAAUUCCAGGUGUAGCGGUGAAAUGCGUAGAUAUCUGGAGGAAUACCGGUGGCGAAGGCGGCAUCCUGGACCGGCAUUGACGCUGAUGAGCGAAAGCCAGGGGAGCAAACGGG